Molecule: transfer RNA, 77 nt
Filed under: Bacillota bacterium
Lineage: Bacteria; Bacillati; Bacillota
Description: tRNA-Pro
Rfam family: tRNA
About the family: Transfer RNA (tRNA) molecules are approximately 80 nucleotides in length. Their secondary structure includes four short double-helical elements and three loops (D, anti-codon, and T loops). Further hydrogen bonds mediate the characteristic L-shaped molecular structure. tRNAs have two regions of fundamental functional importance: the anti-codon, which is responsible for specific mRNA codon recognition, and the 3' end, to which the tRNAs corresponding amino acid is attached (by aminoacyl-tRNA synthetases). tRNAs cope with the degeneracy of the genetic code in two manners: having more than one tRNA (with a specific anti-codon) for a particular amino acid; and 'wobble' base-pairing, i.e. permitting non-standard base-pairing at the 3rd anti-codon position.
Source: RNAcentral
CGGGGUUUGGCGCAGUUUGGUAGCGCACUUGGUUUGGGACCAAGGGGCCACAGGUUCGAAUCCUGUAACCCCGACCA